Molecule: long non-coding RNA, 665 nt
Organism: Mesoplodon densirostris (Blainville's beaked whale)
Lineage: Eukaryota; Metazoa; Chordata; Mammalia; Artiodactyla; Ziphiidae
Exons: 5
Source: RefSeq, a predicted model, not a curated record
AUGCUGGAGUUUGGGAAUGAUGCAACUACAGCGGAAGGCUUCAGUGCUCCGUGGAGACAAAAGAACCAAGACAGUUAACUCAGGCUAACAAAGCAAUGCUCCUCAAACUGUGAUCUCUGAACCAGCAGCAGCACCUGGGAACUUGUUAGAAAUGCAGAUUCUCCAGCCCCAUCCAUACCUACUGAGUCAGACAUCCAGUAUGCGGGCUUCUGUUGUGGCCUCUCCCGUUGCGGAGCACAGACUCCGGACGCGCAGGCUCCAGACGCGCAGGCUCCGGACGCGGACGCGCAGGCUCAGCGGCCAUGGCUUACGGGCCCAGCCGCUCCACGGCAUGUGGGAUCUUCCCGGACCGGGGCACAAACCCGUGUCCCCUGCAUCGGCGGACUCUCAACCACUGCGCCACCAGGGAAGCCCCCAGACCUUGAGCUUUUAGAGCCUCGUCUGCAGCACCUGAACCUGAUUUGGAUGAUGGGAUACUUGACCUUGAGUGUGAGAUGGAUGCUAUCCAGCUGAGAUACUUGGGAGUUCAAGGAGCAGAGAAAACAUGAAACGUAUGAUUCAGCAAGUUCCCGGAUGAACCUUAUCCUCCAUCCUAAUGUGGACUCAAAUUCGAAACUCUCUUUCCACACGUUACCCUGUUUGAAAUGUUUUUGAGCACUUAUGGU